UGCAAUUUACAAGGAUGGACAACCUUUUGAUCAAAAAGUUAUCAUUUGCAAUAGUUCUAUUAUAUAUAAGAUAGUGGGCAGAGAAAUAAACAGUAAAAGUCUUAAACAAAAUCAACAUAAAUGAUCAAGCCACUCUGCACAGAUAGCAUAAGCAAUUAAACACAAAUGUUCUGCUAAAAACAGAUCGCAGAUUCAAAACAAAAGAACCUGGAGGACAGAUCUAUGAAAUGUCACUCACCUCACUAUCACUUCCACGAAGAGAAUAUAAUAUAUGACUUUUUUUUUAAAAUUUUGGUCAUUUGAUAGUUUUUCAACUAAUUUGCUACCUCAUAACACCAAUAUGCUUUAUCUCUCGAGAGGCACUGAUAGACCAUCCUUCUCUUCCGGUCCUCUGUUCCAUUAGAUCUUACUGCAAUGCCAGAAGGAAUAUAACACCACCAAAUUCAUUACUGAUUCCAUCUUAAUGUCAUGUACAAUUGCAAAUAGAUUAGCAAACACUGCUUCAAGUCAAAGAAAAUUAACGAGAAUUAGGACUUUACUCCCCAAAAAAUUCACUCAAAAUUUUCGAGAAAUUUUAAUCUUAUUUCCUAACCUAUAAAAUAUACAUAGUGAAUAACUGCUCCUUAAUCACACGUAACCACACAAAUCCAUCGCCAAAAGGAAAAAAGAAAAAGAAAAAGCAUAGGUCGACAGAUAGUAUAAGAAAUGCAGUCAUGCAAAUUAGCAGAUGGGAAACAUGCAAGU
Molecule: long non-coding RNA, 744 nt
Filed under: Gossypium barbadense (sea-island cotton)
Lineage: Eukaryota; Viridiplantae; Streptophyta; Magnoliopsida; Malvales; Malvaceae
Description: long non-coding RNA (GBAR_LNC018724)
Source: RNAcentral